Molecule: ribosomal RNA, 738 nt
Filed under: Naganishia globosa
Lineage: Eukaryota; Fungi; Basidiomycota; Tremellomycetes; Filobasidiales; Filobasidiaceae
Description: eukaryotic LSU rRNA
Rfam family: Eukaryotic large subunit ribosomal RNA
Source: RNAcentral
UAACGGCGAGUGAAGCGGGAAGAGCUCAAAUUUGAAAUCUGGUAGCCUUCGGUCUGCCCGAGCUUGUAAUCUAGAGAAGUGUUUUCCGCGUUGGCCCAUGUACAAGCUCCCUUGGAACAGGGCGUCAUAGAGGGUGAGAAUCCCGUCCUUGACAUGGACCCCCAAUGCUUUGUGAUACACUUUCAACGAGUCGAGUUGUUUGGGAAUGCAGCCCAAAAUGGGUGGUGAAUCUCCAUCUAAAGCUAAAUAUUGGCGAGAGACCGAUAGCGAACAAGUACCGUGAGGGAAAGAUGAAAAGCACCUUUGGAAAGAGAGUUAAACAGUACGUGAAAUUGUUGAAAGGGAAACGAUUGAAGUCAGUCAUGCUCUUUGGAUUAAGCCGUUCUGCGGUGUAUUUCAUUGAGCGGGGUCAACAUCAGUUUUGAUCGCUGGAAAAGGGCAGGAGGAAGGUAGCACUCUCGGGUGAACUUAUAGCCUCUUGUCGUAUACAGUGAUUGGGACUGAGGAACGCAGCAUGCCUUUUGGCCGGGAUUCGUCCACGUACAUGCUUAGGAUGUUGACAUAAUGGCUUUAAACGACCCGUCUUGAAACACGGACCAAGGAGUCUAACAUAUCUGCGAGUAUUUGGGUGUCAAACCCGAGUGCGCAAUGAAAGUGAACGUAGGAGCGAUCCGCAAGGUGCAGCUUCGACCGAUCUGGAUCUUUAGUGAUGGAUUUGAGUAAGAGCAUAUAUGUUGG